Molecule: ribosomal RNA, 305 nt
Filed under: uncultured bacterium
Lineage: Bacteria
Description: bacterial SSU rRNA
Rfam family: Bacterial small subunit ribosomal RNA
Source: RNAcentral
CCUACGGGACGCAGCAGUGGGGGAUAUUGCACAAUGGGGGGAACCCUGAUGCAGCGACGCCGCGUGGGCGAUGGAGUGCUUCGGCAUGUAAAGCCCUAUCAGCAGGGAAGAAAAUGACGGUACCUGACUAAGAAGCCCCGGCUAACUACGUGCCAGCAGCCGCGGUAAUACGUAGGGGGCAAGCGUUAUCCGGAUUUACUGGGUGUAAAGGGAGCGUAGACGGCAGAGCAAGUCCGGAGUGAAAGCCCGGGGCCCAACCCCGGGACUGCUCUGGAAACUGUUAAGCUAGAGUGCGGGAGGGGCAG